This 400-nucleotide ribosomal RNA is filed under the name Neobacillus fumarioli. RNAcentral describes it as "bacterial SSU rRNA". It matches the Rfam family "Bacterial small subunit ribosomal RNA", at positions 28 to 417 of the family's 1533-position model. Lineage: Bacteria; Bacillati; Bacillota; Bacilli; Caryophanales; Bacillaceae. The record is from RNAcentral.
GACGAACGCUGGCGGCGUGCCUAAUACAUGCAAGUCGAGCGAAUCUUUAAGGGGCUUGCCCCUUGAGAUUAGCGGCGGACGGGUGAGUAACACGUGGGCAACCUGCCUGUAAGACCGGGAUAACUUCGGGAAACCGGAGCUAAUACCGGAUCAUCCUUUCCUUCGCAUGAAGGAAAGCUGAAAGACGGCGUAAGCUGUCACUUACAGAUGGGCCCGCGGCGCAUUAGCUAGUUGGUGAGGUAACGGCUCACCAAGGCGACGAUGCGUAGCCGACCUGAGAGGGUGAUCGGCCACACUGGGACUGAGACACGGCCCAGACUCCUACGGGAGGCAGCAGUAGGGAAUCUUCCACAAUGGACGAAAGUCUGAUGGAGCAACGCCGCGUGAGCGAUGAAGGCCU